This 577-nucleotide small RNA is filed under the name Pongo abelii (Sumatran orangutan). RNAcentral describes it as "processed transcript". The record is from RNAcentral. Lineage: Eukaryota; Metazoa; Chordata; Mammalia; Primates; Hominidae.
GAUUGGCGGCCGGAGGGAUGUCAAAGCUGCCCCGCGCACGUGGGUGGAGGCUGCGGAACUGCGAUUGCUGCCGGGUAGGACGAGCUCUGUCUCGGAAGACCUAGGCUGUAGACGUGGGGAUUUCAGUAGGAAACAUUAUGGAUCUGUGGAGCUGCUUAUUUCCAGUGAUGCUGAUGGAGCCAUCCAAAGGGCUGGAAGAUUCAGAGUGGAAAAUGGCUCUUCAGAUGAGAAUGCAACUGCCCUGCCUGGUACUUGGCGAAGAACAGACGUGCACUUAGAGAACCCAGAAUACCACACCAGAUGGUAUUUCAAAUAUUUUUUAGGACAAGUCCAUCAGAACUACAUUGGAAACGAUGCAGAGAAGAGCCCUUUCUUCUUGUCCGUGACCCUUUCUGACCAAAACAAUCAACGUGUCCCUCAAUACCGUGCAAUUCUUUGGAGAAAAACAGGUACCCAGAAAAUAUGCCUUCCCUACAGUCCCACAAAAACUCUUUCUGUGAAGUCCAUCUUAAGUGCCAUGAAUCUGGACAAAUUUGAGAAAGGCCCCAGGGAAAUUUUUCAUCCUGAAAUACAAAAG